Eriocheir sinensis (Chinese mitten crab) is the source of this 1223-nucleotide long non-coding RNA. RefSeq lists it as uncharacterized. NCBI's taxonomy places the organism in Eukaryota, Metazoa, Arthropoda, Malacostraca, Decapoda, Varunidae. The record is from RefSeq and is a predicted model, not a curated record. The transcript has 3 exons.
AGGCUCCAGGGGCGGUAUACACAAAAGUUCUUAGCAUCGCUAAGUGCACUUAACGGCAAAGAAUCGUUAAGUUUUCUACUUAAAAUGGCGCUGGGCCGCUUAGCGCUGAAGCUGGAGCACUUAGCGGGCGGAAAAUUUAAGGCGGGGAAGGGGCUCCCUUAGCACCGUUAAAAAUGCAUAAGUAUUGCAACAUGGUGGAUUACAGCGGGAUGAAAGGCAUCACCUCCUAAUAUAUCUGCCUCGUCUAGACGAAUUGGAGGCGUGUAAUGAUUUGAAACUCAUCCUGAAAUAUCUGUGGACUGUGCUGACCGUGCUGAGAUGAGUGGUUCGGCGAGGCGGACCUUGGAAACACCUACAUGGCCAUCACGACUGAAGUGGUGUUCGCUGACAGGUAAAAUGCAGGUGCAACCUUCACAGGCUGACAGAGAUUGAGUGAUAACAGACACUGGAGACCCUCCAGGCGAUGGCUGGUGACCGCCUGCCACCAUCCACAGGCUGUUACACAAGGAGCCCUGGGAGUAACCUUGCUGGAAGCCCCGCGGGCCGCGGUGUGUGGCUGGCGUUAUACAGCCCCCAGCCAUCGCCUGGAGGGCAUCCAGUGUCUGUUAUCACUCACCUUAGGUAGUCUGUGAAGGUCCAGUCAUCACUGGCGCACGUGUAUCUUACCUGUGAUCAACACCGGCAGCCACAGACUCCUGCCCAAGGAACGAACACAGUGAUCGUGAUGACAUUGACAACAACGAGCAAGUCCUCCUAGACCUAGAGUGACCUCAAGCUGGGCCAAACAUGAUGUGGAAGAAGAAAUCAGUUGUCUCCAUCAGUCGGGUUUGUGCCAUGGCAGCUUUCUCCAGCUGUCCGGCAGAGGUCCAGUCCAUGCCAUGGAGAAAUUCAGCCCCCAACAAUGAGAUGGCAUGCCAGAGAUGGAUCCGCAGCUUCUCCUCCAAUCAGUCAAUCCUUGCACUGCCCUUUCUCUUUUCUCUUCUUCUGUACACCAUGCUUACAUAACUGAUCCAAGGUACUUAAACUCGUUAACCUCCUCCAUUUCUUCACCAUUCAAAAUUAUUUGGCAUUCUUUUUCACAUUCAAUGCCCACUCUAUAUGGGCAUACAAACUCUACAACCUCCCUUCUACUCCGCUCACAAACCAUCACUUUACUUUUGUUGACAUUUACUUUCAACUUUCUCCUUUUACAUACACUAUCAAAAAAACUGACCAAAUUUUGU